UGUGGACCGAAUGAAGUCCCGCACGCCACGUGUUGAGGUAGUAGUGGGUGCCCCUACUGCCCUCCUGCAGGGGUGCUCACGGUACGGGCUGGCCGAAAGUGGAGACGGACUGCAGGAUGGAUUCACUUGGCCACAUGGCCGGGAGCUGGGAAGACGGACACUGGAACGUGAGGAACACUAGUAGUUCAAGAAAAUGCUGAAGGUGACCUUGGCUGAGAAGCUAGGAUAGGCUGACGAAGUCAGACUUUGUGUAGGAACCUGGUAAGCGAUGGAUCGAUGUUACCUGUCUUCACUUAUUGCAAUAGUAUAAUCAGUUUGAUGAUACAUACUUUAGCCUCAGCUGUUACUUAAGACCCGGUUUCACAUUUUAUGUUCUUUUUCCUGUGCAGGCUGGGAAAGGGUUUCUUCUGGCCAUAAAAACUACCCCAAUGGCUGUGGCAGACUAAAUUCCAAUUCCGGUUGAUACAGCCAUCAAUCUCCCGCUAGCUGUAGGAUGGUGUGCUGCAGUUCACAGGUGUGGAUGCUCAAGUGGGCUUUCAAAGAUUUCAUAAGAGGGAGGGUUCAUCUAUUAGGCACAUUUUCCAAAUAUAGGCAUUUCAUUGUAUAAGACCCCAAAUGUGAGAGGGUGUUCAUUUCAAUAUUUUAUAGAGUUCCUAAUAUGCCAUCAUAUAUAUGUUGAGUUGUUUUCAAAAUACAGUUUAGUACUUGGCUACUCACAAAGUAAUAAAACAUUUAAAUCACUUAACCAUAAAAUUCUUGAUAACCAAAAGGCUUUUCUUUCUAUUGGUAGUUUAACAUUCAGCUUUCUUUUUUAGGGCAAAGGAGAUAGAACUGGAUGAAAUGAGAGAAUAUUUUUUUAAAUUGAACUCUGGUUAAUGCCAAAAGUGUUCAAUCACUAUGUGUGGGGAAGUUUCCUAGUACAAAGGAAAAAAAAAAACAAAAAAAAACAGGUUGUUCAUACAUUUGGCUGCGUUAGUAAGUGGUAAACAGAAUUAAAUUUUUCUUAUGUGAACUC
Molecule: long non-coding RNA, 1015 nt
Filed under: Macaca fascicularis (crab-eating macaque)
Lineage: Eukaryota; Metazoa; Chordata; Mammalia; Primates; Cercopithecidae
Description: lncRNA (ENSMFAG00000051318.1)
Source: RNAcentral